This 72-nucleotide transfer RNA is filed under the name Ornithorhynchus anatinus (platypus). It matches the Rfam family "tRNA". From Rfam's summary of the family: Transfer RNA (tRNA) molecules are approximately 80 nucleotides in length. Their secondary structure includes four short double-helical elements and three loops (D, anti-codon, and T loops). Lineage: Eukaryota; Metazoa; Chordata; Mammalia; Monotremata; Ornithorhynchidae. The record is from Rfam by way of RNAcentral.
AGCAGCGUGGCUUAGUGGAAAGAGCAUGGGCUUGGGAGUCAGAGAUCAUGGGUUCUAAUCCCAACUCUGCUG